CCUACGGGGGGCAGCAGUGAGGAAUAUUGGUCAAUGGGCGAGAGCCUGAACCAGCCAAGUCGCGUGAGGGAAGAAGGUCCAAUGGAUUGUAAACCUCUUUUGCCGGGGAGCAAAAAGCGGUACUCGUACCCCAUCGAGGGUACCCGGAGAAAAAGCAUCGGCUAACUCCGUGCCAGCAGCCGCGGUAAUACGGAGGAUGCGAGCGUUAUCCGGAUUUAUUGGGUUUAAAGGGUGCGCAGGCGGCGAGUUAAGUCAGCGGUAAAAGGUCGGGGCUCAACCCCGACAAGCCGUUGAAACUGGCGUGCUAGAGUGGGAGAGAAGUAUGCGGAAUGCGUGGUGUAGCGGUGAGAUGCAUAGAUAUCACGCAGAACUCCGAUUGCGAAGGCAGCGUACCGGCUCCAAACUGACGUUGAGGCUCGAAAGCGUGGGUAGCGAACAGGAUUAGAUACCCGGGUAGUC
This 459-nucleotide ribosomal RNA is filed under the name uncultured bacterium. Its description in RNAcentral is "partial 16S ribosomal RNA". It matches the Rfam family "Bacterial small subunit ribosomal RNA", at positions 338 to 795 of the family's 1533-position model. The record is from RNAcentral.